Molecule: non-coding RNA, 92 nt
Organism: Caenorhabditis elegans
Lineage: Eukaryota; Metazoa; Nematoda; Chromadorea; Rhabditida; Rhabditidae
Source: Ensembl
GGCGGGGGAUGGCCGAGUGGUGAAAGGCGCUGUUAGGCGCUAUAAAGGACAUCGGAUGUCUCUGGUUCGAUCCCCACGACCCCCCGCCAAUU